Pluralibacter gergoviae is the source of this 148-nucleotide non-coding RNA. It matches the Rfam family "sok antitoxin (CssrC)". Rfam says of the family: Also identified in Shigella as CssrC. NCBI's taxonomy places the organism in Bacteria, Pseudomonadati, Pseudomonadota, Gammaproteobacteria, Enterobacterales, Enterobacteriaceae. The record is from Rfam.
GGGUGCCUGAAGCCGUCUGCUUCGGGUAACUGCGGCAGACAGCAAAAAGCCCCAAGCGAUUUUUCAAUCAACUUGAGGCUCUCUGUUAUGCAUGAACAACAUGAUAGUAGCCUCCUGACUUCAGAGGUGCAAGAAAAUGUCACGAAAG